GACGAACGCUGGCGGCGUGCUUAACACAUGCAAGUCGAACGGAAAGGCCCUGCUUUUGUGGGGUGCUCGAGUGGCGAACGGGUGAGUAACACGUGAGUAACCUGCCCCUGCCCCUCGCCUCACUUCCCGCACCCCCCGCUCACACCCGCUACGCGCCCCCCCUCCAUGGCGCGGGUUGGCAAGUUCCGGCGGUUGGGGCCGGACUCGCGGCUUAUCAGCUUGUUGGUGGGGUAGUGGCUUACCAAGGCUUUGACGGGUAGCCGGCCUGCGAGGGUGACCGGCCACAUUGGGACUGAGGUACGGCCCAGACUCCUACGGGAGGCAGCAGUGGGGAAUAUUGCACAAUGGGCGGAAGCCUGAUGCAGCAACGCCGCGUGCGGGAUGACGGCCUUCGGGUUGUAAACCGCUUUCGCCUGUGACGAAGCGUGAGUGACGGUAAUGGGUAAAGAAGCACCGGCUAACUACGUG
RNAcentral lists this ribosomal RNA (468 nucleotides) under uncultured bacterium. Its description in RNAcentral is "partial 16S ribosomal RNA". It matches the Rfam family "Bacterial small subunit ribosomal RNA", at positions 28 to 507 of the family's 1533-position model. The record is from RNAcentral.